This 253-nucleotide ribosomal RNA is filed under the name uncultured bacterium. Its description in RNAcentral is "partial 16S ribosomal RNA". It matches the Rfam family "Bacterial small subunit ribosomal RNA", at positions 524 to 776 of the family's 1533-position model. The record is from RNAcentral.
GGCGAGCCACACGAACGUUAUUCGGAAUUACUGGGCUUAAAGGGUGCGUAGGCGGUGCGGAAAGUUGGGUGUGAAAUCCCUCGGCUCAACCGAGGAACUGCGCCCAAAACUACCGUACUUGAGGAAGAUAGAGGUGAGCGGAACUUACAGUGGAGCGGUGAAAUGCGUUGAUAUUGUAAGGAACACCCGUGGCGAAAGCGGCUCACUGGGUCUUUUCUGACGCUGAUGCACGAAAGCUAGGGGAGCAAACGGG